GAUGAACGCUGGCGGCGUGCCUAACACAUGCAAGUCGAGCGAUUCUCUUCGGAGAAGAGCGGCGGACGGGUGAGUAACGCGUGGGUAACCUGCCCUGUACACACGGAUAACAUACCGAAAGGUAUGCUAAUACGAGAUAAUAUGCUUUUAUCGCAUGGUAGAAGUAUCAAAGCUCCGGCGGUACAGGAUGGACCCGCGUCUGAUUAGCUAGUUGGUAAGGUAACGGCUUACCAAGGCGACGAUCAGUAGCCGACCUGAGAGGGUGAUCGGCCACAUUGGAACUGAGACACGGUCCAAAACUCCUACGGGAGGCAGCAGUGGGGAAUAUUGCACAAUGGGCGAAAGCCUGAUGCAGCAACGCCGCGUGAGCGAUGAAGGCCUUGGUCGUAAAGCUCUGUCCUCAAGGAAGAUAAUGACGGUACUUGAGGAGGAAGCCCGGCUAACUACGUGCCAGCAGCCGCGGU
RNAcentral lists this ribosomal RNA (464 nucleotides) under uncultured bacterium. Its description in RNAcentral is "bacterial SSU rRNA". It matches the Rfam family "Bacterial small subunit ribosomal RNA", at positions 28 to 521 of the family's 1533-position model. The record is from RNAcentral.